This 301-nucleotide ribosomal RNA is filed under the name uncultured bacterium. Its description in RNAcentral is "partial 16S ribosomal RNA". It matches the Rfam family "Bacterial small subunit ribosomal RNA", at positions 509 to 807 of the family's 1533-position model. The record is from RNAcentral.
CAGUCGCCACGGUAAUACGAGGGGGGCAAGCGUUGUUCGGAAUUAUUGGGCGUAAAGGGUGCGUAGGCGGUUUGACAAGUCUUAUGUGAAAUCUCUGGGCUCAACCCAGAGUCUGCAUGGGAAACUGUCGGGCUUGAGUAUGGGAGAGGUGAGUGGAAUUUCCGGUGUAGCGGUGAAAUGCGUAGAUAUCGGAAGGAACACCUGUGGCGAAAGCGGCUCACUGGACCAUAACUGACGCUGAGGCACGAAAGCUAGGGGAGCAAACAGGAUUAGAGACCCCUGUAGUCCCUGUCUCUUAUAC